AAAUAUUGAUAUAAAAAUUCUGGAGUGUAUUAUAUAUUAUAAUUCAGUUUGUGGUAUAUUUAUCGUAUAAAUAUUACUAUAUGUUUGGACUAUGUUAUAUAGUUGUAUGAAUUUCACUUUGUAUAAUAUAGUACUAUUAUAUACAACAUAUAUAAAUGACAUAAUGUACAUAUAUAAACAGGUAUGUUCCAUAUAGUGAUAGAUAUAUACGUAUAAUAUAUCUAAUAUAAACCAUCAAAAUCCUACAGAAUAAUGGAACGCAUGAAACACCAUAGGAUGCAUUUCAAUGUUGGAUAUUGCCGGAUCAAGGAAGUAUGUCAAAAGUUCUUUAAGAUGGUAGAGAAUGUCCCAUGAUUUAUGCAUCUUAUCUGGUCAUUAAUUAUUUGCUUAAUCUUUAUAAUAUGCCAUUAGUGUAAAAACAAUCUUUCAUUUAUGUAAUAAAUAAAGAAUAUUAUUAUUUUCUUAAAUAAUUUUUAAAAAGUGCUCACCCAUGUCGAUUCCUCUUUGGAAUUUGGGGUGUGGGCUUAAGGUUAUUGGGCUAAAAAUUAAAAACAAAGUUGGGCUUGGACUAAACUAUUUCGGUAUCUCGAAAUACCGAAAUAUCAAAAACCCAAUCCGUAUACCGAACCGAAUUACCGAAAUACCGAAAUUUUUGUACCGAAAUAAACCGAAAUACCGAAAAAAUCGAAACCGAAAUACCAAAUUAAUUCGGUUUGGUUCGGAAUUCGGUUUUUCGGAUUUUAUGCCCACCCCUAAUACAAAUACCAGUACCGUACAGUUUAUUCCAGUAUGAAAGCUCUUCCUAGACAUUUAUCUUCUUAUAUAUGUACAGAGACAUUUCAGUUACAAGCAUAAAAUAUAUUCCAUAUAGUCUUUUGACAAACAUAUGUUGCAGUUUCCUCGAUCAAGUGAUUCAAGUGGUUAUUAUGCUUUAUUGGUUAGUUUUUUUUUGUAGGCACCUUAUAUGCAAAAAAAUACACCAUGCAUCAGAAAAGAAGACUUAUCAACCGAAGAGCAAGGAGCAUAUCAAUAUGCCACAUGAAUUUCGAAAGGCAACAACCAAUAUCAACCAUAUAAAUCUUGUCAUUACUCCCCUAUAAACUGACAUGAUUGAGUCAAUAAUGCACAAUAUCUCAUACGGUACUUUUUAUUAUAAAAGAAAUAAUCAUCAUUGCCUUCAUAUGGUACUUCAUUCUUUCUUGAAAGGGAAAAGUUAGUGAAGUGGUUCAAAAUCAUAUGGUACUUCAUUCAAAAUGAGCAAGCUGUCUAUUAGGCCUAAUAUUAACACUCAUUCUGAAGUAACAGGAACCAUCAGAAUAUGUAGAUUUUUGAGAAGUCAUGCAAAUGAUCCUUCAAGCAUUGAUCAAACUGAAAACUACAUUGUAACUAUCACAUUUCCAUUUCAUAUUCAUGUUUGAUAUCACAAACAAUUAUGGAAACUCUGAAAGUGCACAAACCAUUUCAUGAGACAAUUCUUAAAGCACCAAUAAUGCCAGAGAAGGAUGUGGAAACAAAUGAUGGGUGUAAUUGGUUGGCUGCUCAAAACUUCAAACAUCACUGGAAAAAAAAGUACUAAUGCAGGAGCUUACAUAGACAUUUCAUGAACUAUGGACUCAACAUGACAUUUUCCUAUGUGAAUCCUUCUCUCUCCUUAUCAAUAGUUAAUUAGUUGAAACACCAAAAAGAUCUCACAAAAUAACUCCUUCUAUCCCAUACUUAUGACACUAUUUGAUCGGUACAGAGUUUUUUAGAUAUUAGUUUAACUUUGUAUUAUAGUAGGUUUGGAAGUAAGUAUUAAGAAGUUGUUAAGAGUUAGUUUGUUCAAGAAAAUAUCACAUUAAGGUUAAAUGUGAAGAUACAUAAACUUUGUGAAAGUUGUAACUUAUCAACAAAAAAAAUUGUGAAUUUGUAUUGGAUUACUAUAAUAUUAAAAUUUUGUCAAACAUUCUAGUAUGUCCUUAAAAUGGAAAGAUUAUUUGGAGAGAUAAAUGAGACAUCAAUACACAAGUCACUAUAACAUAAAAUAUAAAUAAUAUAAGUUAUAUAUAUUGACAAUGUAAUGAUUUUCUUACAUCAUCAUUGUAAUUUAACUUGAUAUAGCUGGUUACUUACCAUUUAUUUUAGGUAAUCAAUUAAUGUUUAUUAAAUAGAGCUACCUGCAAUUAUCUUUUAAAUGACCUCAUUUUGUAAAUAUUUUUUACACCCUUAGCGGAUAGAACUUAAAACUCAAAGAUAAAUAGCUAUGAUAAACUAAGUAUACUAAAAAAUGCUGAUUUUGAAAACACUAAAAAUAAAAACAGUAUAAAUUCAGACUAAAACCAUUCACAAGAAAUGAAGGAUGAACAUACAGUACAACACUUUAAAACAAGGAUUCGGGCGAGAAACCUACAGUAAACCCACGUUAAAUAUACAUCAGUUGAAUGGUAGCCUGAACGACAAAAAUCAAGAUAGACAAGAAAAUUCAGAAUUUAGAAAGUCUACACAGAAUGCAAAGAAGACAAAUUAAAGCAAAGUAAAAUUGAAGCAAAGAAUGUAAGAGUAGUGAAGAAAAGAAUAACCUUUGAAUUCCGAUAAAUGUUGAAGAACAAAUGGUAAAUUGUUCCCGAGCUACCAGUUUAAGCAACUCUUUUAGGUGCGUCAGAAGCUUCUAGCUUUGUCCGGAAGAACCCAAAGGGGAACUCAAAGGGUAAAAAUUAGAAAUAGUCUAAUUACAAUUAGUAAUUUCAAAGAU
Molecule: long non-coding RNA, 2731 nt
Filed under: Nicotiana tabacum (common tobacco)
Lineage: Eukaryota; Viridiplantae; Streptophyta; Magnoliopsida; Solanales; Solanaceae
Description: long non-coding RNA (NTAB_LNC004532)
Source: RNAcentral